This is a long non-coding RNA of Sander lucioperca (pikeperch), 90 nucleotides long. RefSeq lists it as uncharacterized. The transcript has 3 exons. Lineage: Eukaryota; Metazoa; Chordata; Actinopteri; Perciformes; Percidae. The record is from RefSeq and is a predicted model, not a curated record.
GGUCCCUGCGCCGUCUCUCUUUGAGUUAAGGGGUCCUUGGCUUAAAAAAUGUUGAAGACCCCUGAUUUAGACUAUUACAUAGAAACUAGG